GUGGAUUGAUGGCAGCACCGCAUCUGGAACUCCUGUGAGCGGCCUGUUAACGAGGUGUGUCAACUCGAAAAGGAUUGAUCGUGAAAAAUGACAGAGUACUGUGGAUUGAUGGCAGCACUGCAUCUGGAACUCCUGUGAGCGGCCUGUUAACGAGGUGUGUCAACUCGAGGGAAACCAGGCGAGCCGCCCUCGUCUAAGAAGCCACGGGACUCAUUUUGGUGGCCUGCGUCUCACGUUUGGGCACAGUCUCACUGUCGAUUUGUUUGCAAGCGAAGUCUUGAUAACGAUUCUAUGCUGCUGUUUUCCGCUUGGACAGUUUCCCCUUCCUUAUUUUCCUGGUGCUCUGUUCCGAAGGGCGCCCCACUCCUUCGUCUGGUGGUUUUUCCCGUUACUCCCUUACGCGGCAGGAUUGCAUGGGUAUAGCCGCUGCGCUCUACAUCCGUGUGUUUUUCCGCGGGACCUAGACGCUGGGGGUGAACGGUGCAUCCGAAACUCGUCUGUUCUAUACAUGUAUCUGCUGUUCUUCAGGUAGCUUCUCGUCAACUUUUCGGUCGCGAGCAUGCCAGUGAACUGAAAAGAACCCCUUCGCUCCCACUUACGCACGACAAGAGGAGCAACAAAAUCGUUCGGAGCUGGUGUGCGGGGUACCAGUGGACGACAUAUCGACGGACGCUGUCACAAAUACCAAAGGCUUGUCCAUUGGUUCAUGCGUAUACGCAUGGUCUUUGACAUCAGAGAAGACGCCUUGGACUGGACUGAACGAUGGAAAAUGGCCGCGCGUGAAGCGCACUUCAGCCCCAGACGCAGCUGGUUCCUCCUUGAACGCUUUUAAGUGAUGGAAAAUGCCGUUGUCUACAAGCAGAACAGAAGAAUGUCAGAAGGAGAAGGUGCAAAGGGCGCUUCCACGAAGGAUGAUGUGGUGAAUGAGUCUGUACAUUUGGCAAUGCGUACGUUACCAUACCGUCGAAUCACCGCUCGGGUUGAGGUUGUUGAAAUGCUCGCUUGAUUCUUCUUCACGAACAGCGGUACGCCCUAUUUCGAGUAUCGACAUACAGGUCUGCCAGUUUUCUCGGGAAUGAAUCCUCAUCGAUUGAGACGAACGCCCGUUACUCCAUGAAGAGGCAUUCGCAUUUCAUUAGGAAAUCAGUAGUGCGUUAUUCAUCGCACGAAGGUCUCGCAUAGAUGCAAGCUUUUUUCUUUGCCCAUCGGUGUCUCUAUAUCACCGUUCGUAUCAAAGAUAUGAAAACCUGACAUCCUGUGGCUUGUUCAGUAGUAUUGUUUACAGAACCUACGGCGUACAGAGUAUUGACAAGGCGACUGUCGUCUUGGCAGCGUCUGAUUGUCUCUGUCUCAGGUGCACGGCCUCAGGAACAGGGCCUAGGAAAAGGCUGGUUUAUCUGCCUACUCAAGGUAGGAUAACUGAAGUGGACAGGUAAGCUGCAUUUCGCAAGCUACCAGUGUAAGCGUAGAGCCUGUCGAGGGCCUUUCUGCAGUCUAUGGAAUGCAAUCCAUUUGCUGGAUACCUGCGAGAAAAACGAACAACAAGAAUAAAAGUGGCGUACUGGUACAGAUGUUCCGGCAUUCACCACACUAGGCAUAACGACAACAACUCGGGGGAUUGCAGUGUGACGCCUGCUUUAUGCAUCGGACACUGAUUCGCAUCCUGUCGUUUCUAUCGGGAAAAGUGAGCGUAUUCGUAACAGCAGGGUAACGUGACUUUUAUGUACAUCAGAAACUGAUUCGCAGAAUGCCAUCUCUGUUGGAAAAUGUGCGUUUCUUCGACCCAACGAGACAUUUCAUGUGAAAUGGCACCAUAAUCACGAGGCUUGGUUUGGACAACGCGCAAGUGAACCUGCGCGCUCGUCAACUUUGCAUUACAAUACGAUGCACAAGCACCGGAACUCUGUUGUCGAUGACGAAGAACACAUAGCCCGUACUAGAGCCUACCUCACUAUCGCCAAUCCUAUGGCGUACAGUGGACGACUCCUUGGAUCCAGGCGGGCUCUGAACACAUAGGUAGAUGCAUCCCUAGACGGAAAGGGUUCCGACUCCCGCAUUGAAACCCUGAGGUGAACGUCCCAGUGCAUCCAGCUGAAUUCGAAUCUAGCGCAGGUACGUGCAGCAAUCACGCUCCUCCAUCCUGUGUGUACCGGCGACGCAGCGUAAACCCAGCGG
This is an RNA transcript of Cyanidioschyzon merolae strain 10D, 2175 nucleotides long. RefSeq lists it as hypothetical. The record is from RefSeq and is a predicted model, not a curated record. The transcript has a single exon. Lineage: Eukaryota; Rhodophyta; Bangiophyceae; Cyanidiales; Cyanidiaceae.